GGUUCCCUUUCAGAAGCACAUGAAGUUCUGAAGUUGGCUAGGAAACAAGUGAAGCAAACUGCUCGGAAUAUGCCUCAGCACUUGGCAUGCCUUGAUGUAAUUGAAGAAGGCAUAGUCCAUGGUGGAUAUAAUGGGAUUCUCAAGGAAGCUAAAGUUUUUGAGGACCUUGUAUUAUCAGAUACAUCAAGAGGUCUUGUUCACGUAUUUUUUGCCCAACGGGCUACAUCAAAGGUACCUAAUGUAACUGAUAUUGGUCUGAAACCAAGGUCAGUGAAGAAAGUUGCCAUAAUAGGUGGAGGUUUAAUGGGUU
RNAcentral lists this unclassified non-coding RNA (310 nucleotides) under Hevea brasiliensis (rubber tree). The record is from RNAcentral. Lineage: Eukaryota; Viridiplantae; Streptophyta; Magnoliopsida; Malpighiales; Euphorbiaceae.